UACAGAGGUCUCAAGCGUUGUUCGGAUUCAUUGGGCGUAAAGGGUGCGUAGGCGGCGCGGUAAGUCGGGUGUGAAAUCUCGGAGCUUAACUCCGAAACUGCAUUCGAUACUGCCGUGCUUGAGGACUGGAGAGGAGACUGGAAUUUACGGUGUAGCGGUGAAAUGCGUAGAUAUCUGGAGGAACACCGGUGGCGAAGGCGGCAUCCUGGACCGAGAUUGACGCUGAGGCGCGAAAGCCAGGGGAGGCAAACGGG
This 254-nucleotide ribosomal RNA is filed under the name uncultured bacterium. Its description in RNAcentral is "partial 16S ribosomal RNA". It matches the Rfam family "Bacterial small subunit ribosomal RNA", at positions 524 to 776 of the family's 1533-position model. The record is from RNAcentral.